This 544-nucleotide ribosomal RNA is filed under the name Hyaloscypha hepaticicola. RNAcentral describes it as "partial 28S ribosomal RNA". It matches the Rfam family "Eukaryotic large subunit ribosomal RNA", at positions 1 to 548 of the family's 3401-position model. Lineage: Eukaryota; Fungi; Ascomycota; Leotiomycetes; Helotiales; Hyaloscyphaceae. The record is from RNAcentral.
UGACCUCGGAUCAGGUAGGGAUACCCGCUGAACUUAAGCAUAUCAAUAAGCGGAGGAAAAGAAACCAACAGGGAUUGCCUCAGUAACGGCGAGUGAAGCGGCAACAGCUCAAAUUUGAAAUCUGGCUCUUUCAGGGUCCGAGUUGUAAUUUGUAGAAGAUGCUUUGGGUGUAGCUCCGGUCUAAGUUCCUUGGAACAGGACGUCAUAGAGGGUGAGAAUCCCGUAUGUGACUGGGUGCUUUCGCUCGUGUAAAGCUCUUUCGACGAGUCGAGUUGUUUGGGAAUGCAGCUCAAAAUGGGUGGUAAAUUUCAUCUAAAGCUAAAUAUUGGCCAGAGACCGAUAGCGCACAAGUAGAGUGAUCGAAAGAUGAAAAGCACUUUGGAAAGAGAGUUAAACAGUACGUGAAAUUGUUGAAAGGGAAGCGCUUGCAACCAGACUUGCGCGCUGUUGAUCAUCCGAGCUUCUGCCCGGUGCACUCGACAGCGUUCAGGCCAGCAUCGGUUUUGGUGGGCGGAUAAAGGCCUUGGGAAUGUAGCUUCUUUCG